CCUACGGGAGGCAGCAGUAGGGAAUAUUGCUCAAUGGGGGAAACCCUGAAGCAGCAACGCCGCGUGGAGGAUGAAGGUUUUCGGAUUGUAAACUCCUUUUGUUAGAGAAGACAAUGACGGUAUCUAACGAAUAAGCACCGGCUAAAUCCGUGCCAGCAGCCGCGGUAAUACGGAGGGCGCAAGCGUUAUUCGGAAUCACUGGGCGUAAAGGGCGCGUAGGCGGGAUAGCAAGUCAGAUGUGAAAUCCUAUGGCUUAACCAUAGAACUGCAUUUGAAACUGUUAUUCUAGAGUAUGGGAGAGGUAGGUGGAAUUCUUGGUGUAGAGGUGAAAUCCGUAGAGAUCAAGAGGAAUACUCAUUGCGAAGGCGACCUGCUAGAACAUAACUGACGCUGAUGCGCGAAAGCGUGGGGAGCAAACAGGAUUAGAUACCCGGGUAGUC
RNAcentral lists this ribosomal RNA (440 nucleotides) under uncultured bacterium. Its description in RNAcentral is "partial 16S ribosomal RNA". It matches the Rfam family "Bacterial small subunit ribosomal RNA", at positions 338 to 795 of the family's 1533-position model. The record is from RNAcentral.